CCUACGGGAGGCUGCAGUGAGGAAUAUUGGACAAUGGGCGCGAGCCUGAAGCAGCCACGCAGCGUGAAGGAUGACUGCCCUACGGGUUGUACACUUUUUUUAUAAAGGAAUAACGUGAGGCACGUGUGCCUUGUUGUAAGUACUUUAUGAAUAAGGAUCGGCUACCUCCGUGCCAGCAGCGGGGGUAAUACGGAGGAUAUGAGUGUUAACCGGAUUUAUUGGGUUUAGAGGGUGGGGAGAUGGGUUGUUAAGUCAGUUGUGAACGUUUGGGGCUCAACCGGAACAUUGCAGUUGAUACUGGCAGCCUUGAGUACAGUAGAGGUAGGCGGAAUGCGUGGUGUAGCGGUGAAAUGCUUAGAUAUCACGAAGAACUCCGAUUGCGAAGGCAGCCUACUAGACUGCCACUGACAUUGAGGCUCGAAAGUGUGGGUAUCGAACAGGAUUAGAUACCCUUGUAGUC
RNAcentral lists this ribosomal RNA (460 nucleotides) under uncultured bacterium. Its description in RNAcentral is "partial 16S ribosomal RNA". It matches the Rfam family "Bacterial small subunit ribosomal RNA", at positions 338 to 795 of the family's 1533-position model. The record is from RNAcentral.